GCCCUUAGGGUUAGUGUGAGCAUUGUUUGGGGUCCCACAGCCCUUAGGGUCAGUGUGAGCAUCAUUUAGGGUCCUGCUGUCCUUAGGGUCAGUGUGAGCAUCAUUUGGGGUCCUGCAGCCCUUAGGGUCAGUGUGAGCGCUGUUUGGGGUCCCAGUGCUCUUAGGGCUGGUGUGAGCACAGUCCCACUGUCCUUAGGGUUGGUGUGAACAUGGUUUG
Molecule: long non-coding RNA, 217 nt
Filed under: Coturnix japonica (Japanese quail)
Lineage: Eukaryota; Metazoa; Chordata; Aves; Galliformes; Phasianidae
Description: lncRNA (ENSCJPG00005003544.1)
Source: RNAcentral